This 465-nucleotide ribosomal RNA is filed under the name Vreelandella stevensii. RNAcentral's name for it is "partial 16S ribosomal RNA". It matches the Rfam family "Bacterial small subunit ribosomal RNA", at positions 338 to 795 of the family's 1533-position model. The record is from RNAcentral. Lineage: Bacteria; Pseudomonadati; Pseudomonadota; Gammaproteobacteria; Oceanospirillales; Halomonadaceae.
CCUACGGGUGGCAGCAGUGGGGAAUAUUGGACAAUGGGCGAAAGCCUGAUCCAGCCAUGCCGCGUGUGUGAAGAAGGCCUUCGGGUUGUAAAGCACUUUCAGUGGGGAAGAAAGCCUUGGGGCUAAUACCCUCGAGGAAGGACAUCACCCACAGAAGAAGCACCGGCUAACUCCGUGCCAGCAGCCGCGGUAAUACGGAGGGUGCGAGAGUUAAUCGGAAUUACUGGGCGUAAAGCGCGCGUAGGCGGUCUGAUAAGCCGGUUGUGAAAGCCCCGGGCUCAACCUGGGAACGGCAUCCGGAACUGUCAGGCUAGAGUGCAGGAGAGGAAGGUAGAAUUCCCGGUGUAGCGGUGAAAUGCGUAGAGAUCGGGAGGAAUACCAGUGGCGAAGGCGGCCUUCUGGACUGACACUGACGCUGAGGUGCGAAAGCGUGGGUAGCAAACAGGAUUAGAUACCCUUGUAGUC